This is a long non-coding RNA of Cornus florida, 1880 nucleotides long. RefSeq lists it as uncharacterized. The transcript is spliced from 3 exons. The record is from RefSeq and is a predicted model, not a curated record. NCBI's taxonomy places the organism in Eukaryota, Viridiplantae, Streptophyta, Magnoliopsida, Cornales, Cornaceae.
CUUAUUUCAGAACAUCACAUUACAAAACAUUUCUUCUGUUCUAGGCUAGGGCAGUAUAUUAUAUCACAUUACACUUCCCAAACGGGCCCUUAGUGUAUUUUGGGUGUUAGUAAAAAGGAAGGAAGUAGAAAAUAAUAAUAAUUAAAAAAAAACAAAAAGGAAGGAAAAGAGAAAAAGUGUCAACCCUAGUCAAUUGUACGACAACGCGUCUUUGCUCCAACGAACUCUUUUAAUUUGAUGAACAAGACUCUUGGUCGCUGUUCCACCGCUCAUUUUUUGCACUCAAAAUAAUUGAACUGUACGAGAGGCGUCUUCUGCUUUUUAUAAAGCUGAGAUUUGGAUCGGGUGAGAGUCAGAUAUCGAGUCUGGCGUGGAUACAGAGCUUUGCAUCCUAUUACUUUGAGAAGUCCCCAACUUUUUGUGGGAUUUUAACAAAUUCAAGGCCGCUUUGUGGACACUUCACUUGGGUAUUCAACAGGUCCAUUUGCCAAAAAAGGAGCAAAAUCAAGGCUUUGUAGAGUUUUGGCCAUCAAAAGGCACAAUUCUGAAAUUCUGGCAGCAGUGAAGCCCAAACUUUGUUCGCCAUUUUGACCUUGCAAACUUGAGAACUGGACUUCCAUUAUAAAAUGGCAUAUUUAGAGCUCUGAAUUAGCUUUCCAAAUCUUCAAGCGGUUCAUCAUUCGGAGCUUGGAGCAGAGGUGCGCAGAACUGCCUGGCAGAAAUGAAAUUCUGCCUUGAUCUUCAUUUUCGGCCAACCAUCCUUGAGAAUUGGAUCUCUACCAAAACAUGAAGUUUUUAGAGCUCUGAAUUAGCUUUCCAAAUCUUCAAACGGUUCAUCAUUUGGAGUUUAGAGCAUAAAGUUAUGGCCGUUUUACCAAAGUAGGUCCGGGCGGAGCAAACCAAGCAUAGGGCAUUCUGGCCAAUUUUCGAGUGCUCGAGGCCUUAUUUCGAGUACUCGAAAUUAGGGCAGAUUGCUUCACGAGAUCAGCAGUGGAGUUAGGAUUUUGCUCGCCAUUUUGACCCAGAAAGGUCGAGAACUGGACUUCCAUCAUAACAUGAAAGAUUUAGAGCUCUGAAUUAGCUUUCUAAAUCUUCAAACGGUUCAUCAUUUGGAGCUUGGAGCGGAGAGUUAUGGCCUUGUUACCAGAGGUGCGUAGAACUGCCUGGCAGCACUGAAGUACUGCCUUUCUCCCCAUUUUCGACCAACCAGACUUGAGAUUUGGGUCUUCAUCAAAACAUGAAGUUUUUAAAGCUCUGAAUCAGCUCUCCAAAUCUUUAAACGGUUUGUCAUUCGGAGUUCGGAGUGCAAAGUUAUGGCUGUUUAACCAAAGUAGGUCUGGGCGGAGCAAGGCAAGAAUGGAGCAUUCUGCUCCAAUUUUGAGUGCUCGAGCCCUUAUUUCGAGUGCUCGAAAUUAGGGCAGAAUUGCAUCCGUAAAUGGCCCAUUUUUAGCCACUUGCAUCUUGGGUUCCUCAAUUCUAAUUUCCCUCUUUAAUGGUUGGUUGGAGAUGUUGGUUGGUGGGGAUUUUUUGAGCCUUAUCUCUAGAAGAUAAGAGAGGGAAGCCACACAAUACAUUAAGCUACAUUUUGCAAGAUAGUGGAGAGAGAAGAGAGCAAAGAGGAGGAGUUCUUGAAGCUUCAAGGAGGAAGCUCGAAAAUGGAGGGGAAAGCCUUGCUUCUUCCUUUUUCUAGCUCACUCAUGGGUAACUAAACCUCAUCUAGGGAGGUGAUGAAGCCUCCCCUUUUGUUCAUGUUCUAGAUUAGGUUCUAUUUUGGGGAUUAUGAUGUAUAAACUUUGGUCUUUUCAUAGUUUAAGAGCUUAUUACUUCUUGUAAUGAAUAUUCAUGCUUAAAUGAUUGAUGUGAGUUAUUUAGCUUGUCUU